AGCAAUUUCAUGACGACAAUUACUAAUUUUUGCCACUAUACUCUUCACUGCACCCUCAGUUCUGUCUCCCCUAGAGUCCGACCAUCCCAUUGAUAUUGAUUCCAUGAAACCCUCUCUUCUAAUCCAUCUCUUAUCAAAUCGGAAUUGUCCUUUCCUCCUAGGAGCUUUGUCUUCUAAAUAAGCCACCACUGGACGAUGAUCAGAUGCCACCAUUUUUAAAUAUUCUGUAUAAGAGCAUGGGAAUAAAGUAUGCUAUUCUUCAUUUGCCAAAGCACGAUCUAGACGGCAUCUAACCAUCACUGCCCCUUUUCCUUUCUCUCUUCUCCCUUGCCAUGACAUUUUAUUUCCCCUCGCCGGGAAUUCCAGUAAUCCACUGUUUCUGAUCAUAUUAUUAAAAGGAAUAAAAGAAUACGCGUUCCUUAAAGAUCCUCCGUCUUUUUCAUGGUUACCUUUAAUCUCAUUUAGAUCGCCAAUAACGAACCAGGGUUCGGACCGUG
Molecule: long non-coding RNA, 497 nt
Filed under: Brassica napus (rape)
Lineage: Eukaryota; Viridiplantae; Streptophyta; Magnoliopsida; Brassicales; Brassicaceae
Description: long non-coding RNA (BNAP_LNC020333)
Source: RNAcentral